Molecule: ribosomal RNA, 253 nt
Filed under: uncultured bacterium
Lineage: Bacteria
Description: partial 16S ribosomal RNA
Rfam family: Bacterial small subunit ribosomal RNA
Source: RNAcentral
UACGUAGGGCGCGAGCGUUGUCCGGAAUUAUUGGGCGUAAAGAGCUCGUAGGCGGCCGGUUGCGUCUGCUGUGAAAUCCCGGGGCUUAACCCCGGGCGUGCAGUGGAUACGGGCCGGCUGGAGGCAGGCAGGGGAGAAUGGAAUUCCCGGUGUAGCGGUGAAAUGCGCAGAUAUCGGGAAGAACACCCGUGGCGAAGGCGGUUCUCUGGGACGGUACUGACGCUGAGGAGCGAAAGCCAGGGGAGCGAACGGG